RNAcentral lists this transfer RNA (67 nucleotides) under Ictidomys tridecemlineatus (thirteen-lined ground squirrel). RNAcentral's name for it is "Spermophilus tridecemlineatus (thirteen-lined ground squirrel) tRNA". It matches the Rfam family "tRNA". From Rfam's summary of the family: Transfer RNA (tRNA) molecules are approximately 80 nucleotides in length. Lineage: Eukaryota; Metazoa; Chordata; Mammalia; Rodentia; Sciuridae. The record is from Rfam by way of RNAcentral. RNAcentral also lists the same sequence under 1 other name.
GAUAUAGCUCAAUUGGUAGAGUGCUUGCCUUGAAUGCACAAGGCCCUGGGUUCUAAUCCCCAGUAUC